GGCUCUGAUGGCCUAGUGGUAAGAGGCGUCCGCCUCUGAUGAUGGAGGUCGUGUGUUCGAUCUACGGCCGAGCCA
Potamilus streckersoni is the source of this 75-nucleotide non-coding RNA. NCBI's taxonomy places the organism in Eukaryota, Metazoa, Mollusca, Bivalvia, Unionida, Unionidae. The record is from the annotation of a GenBank genome assembly.